UAUCAUGGGUGGGAUUAAUAGACCCCAAUGGCCAACGGAGAGAUAAGCUUCAGGAGAGGUGAGAGACGAAAGACGAAAUGUGAUGUCGAACCCUUCCCUACAAGUUCUAAGUGGUUUCUGGUAUUGAUUGUCCUCCGUGCAACGUGCACCAUCAUCCUCCAUAAAGAGGUGAGAUGGUGUUACAGAUGCUAACUACGGCUUGUAGAGCUUACUCAAUGUCGAUAAGGUGGUUGGGCUAAUACCAAUAAAUGUCUAAAACCACCACAGCAUCGUUAUUUAAUGGUUGAUCCCAGGGUUUGCAAUCAAUGCUGCGAGGGUACAUGUAUUAGUUACCAUCGAGCUGGGGUGCGGAGUCAUCAUGAGGUGCCCCUUUUAUUCUUCUCCCUCCAACCACCCCCAUAUCCAUAUGCUAUCUACGUCUUGCUCAAUUGACGCAAUAACAAUUUAGCUUUGCGAAUAAAGUCGUACUCCCCUCCAUUACUGCAGAUACGUGAUUUCGCCAAGUUUCGUGCAAGUCGAAUCCAUUCAGGGAAUCGUGGACAUUAGUGGUAAGUGCGGGGACUUUGCAUGGGGGGCACUCAUUGAAGUGUUAUUACUGUUUAUUUAUUAAGGGGUUCAGAGCAACAAACUGCCGACAGUACUUACUCAAUACCGCCAUCCUGGGUAAUGAUAUUCUUCCUCUUGUACUGUACAAUACUCGGUAAUAAGCUCCUCAAAGGACGACUACUUUUCCGCCCCGCUUUUUCAAUGUCAAUGGGCUUCGGAACUUUGUAAUUCGACGACUUCUUAGAGGGUUGUUGACUGAAGUCGAUCAUUUUUCAUUUCCAGCUCAUCUCAGGGGAAAGAGAAAACAAGCAAUUAGGGAUUCAAAAAUAAAUACAAUAUAAGAGGCCGGAAGAAGAAGUAAAAACUCAAAACCAAGGGAAAUUCCAAGUGAUCUAAUGUGGUGAUGCUAUCUCUAUUCGCGUUUCGGAACUCCAAAUUUUCAAGCUUCGACACGACGAUAUGCUUCGGUCUGAUCAGGCAACGGGAUCCCGUCAUCUUCCCAGAACGCAGUCUUCUUGUCUUUUCCUUUUGCCAUUCCGCCAAUAUCAAAGGGGUCAAAAACGGUCAGGAAAAAGUUCCUAUCAUCGACCCAGCCUGGGCCGAUGCGCUCUGUUUUUCCAUCCCGGGCUAGAUAAACCACGUUGGACCGGGGGAGACAGCUGGCAGGCGGGAAUACGUUCAUCAGAACAGCGUUGAUGAAGAUGGGUACUGCAUCGAAGCACCAGAAAUAUGCCUCGGUGCGUCCCACAGCAGACCCCCAUCCUUCGAAGGUCUCCACAGCGCGAUAUACAUUCCGAACCGUCAGCAACGCGCACGACAAAUAGAGGGUUAUCAGAACUUUCCGGAGUUUCGGUUCGUGGAUGCCAGCUUUGUGCAAGCGGCGGUGGAAAUAGGCGACGAGGACCCCGAACAGGGCGAAGAUCGGGAUUUGGGCGAGGAUCGAAGUCUUGAUUAGGAUGUCACCCACUUUCAGUGUCGCCGGCUUGUGAUUGAGGUUUGAGGCUAUGGAUGCGCCAGAGGCGGCAAGGCCUUCGAUGAUAGCAUCGCAUCCAAGGAAAGUGGAUAUCACGCGACCUGGGUGCAUCGGCGAGAGCCAGGGAACAUAGUACAGUACACGGCCGAAAACGAUGGAGUUUAUUGCGAGGAAUAUAGGGCUGCAAAAAAAGAGUCAGAAAAGCGUUCGAAGUCGAAUCAAAAACUACUAAUACCCCCGAGUGGCAUUGCAGGGGACCAGGUGCUGACUCACGGGGCGCAAAACAAAAAGCAUGAUGUUGCGAUGAAAAGGUCAAGUUUCCCGUAGAGGCCAUGAGCUGCUAUCUCACGGAGGAUAUAGCCGACGACGAAGACCAGCGAGACCCAUGGGAGCAACAGGCCCAUCCUCCACGUUUUGUAUCGCCUGUUCGAAGAGCGUCAGAAAGUCGGUUCUGAGAACAGACGUCAAGGCCGAAAAGAGGUUUUAUUUUUUUCUCAUACAUAUUGUUCUGCCAUAGAUGCAGAAGACCAGAAACAAGCCAGAGAACAGCAAAAACUGCGGAUAGCCCCUUUACGGGUUUAUACUGGAAGAAGCUGAAACCCUCUGUGAAAGUGAAGUUAGAAUUUGGCUUGAGGACCAUGGUAUUCUUCCCUAGUAUCUUGCGGGAUGAAUCGAGACGUACCGGUACCAGGUCCACCCAUUGCAACGGACUUGGGAAUUAUGUUAUCAAUAAUCAAACGAAAUAAAUACUAGUAUAUUGAUUGAACAAUCGAAUCAUCUAUAUAAUGCGGCCACUCGAAGUAAACAAGUACUAGGACUGACAAUAUCUGGAUCGUCCACGCGAAAUGAAGGAACAAAUGUUCUGGAUACAAAGAACCCAUCCUCAAAAGCCCGAGCCAUGGCUGCCUUUCGAAAGAUUAUAUAUUCCCAUCCCAAAGCGCAAUUGAAGCCUUCAGAGCGCAUCGAGACAUCAUUUGGUCAACGGAAUAUCUGUUUGCACUAGCCGCAUUCGGUAGAAUUUCGUUUAGGCCUCAUUAGCUAACCAGCUCCUGAGCGAACGGGCAGCUUGCCAAGGUGGCUGCUUGGGAGCAUGUGUUCUCAAUGAUGCACCUUGCGAGGCUAUGUCAUCCCCGUAACAAAUCUUCCCGGCAGUUUCUUGGAAAUCCGGAAUGCUGUCAGCGCUGAGCGAGGGAUUGCGUACACGAGGUAAACGCGGCCCGGAUCUAGCAAAAUUAGCAAAAUACUUCUGCCUGUCCCUCACACUGAAAUACUGUUUCUCUCUUCUCAUUAACGCAGCUAUUAUGCCAAAAGAAACCGAAUUAAUUGAGUCUUUCCAAGGAAACGACCUUGGUCCCAAUGUUUGAAGUUGUCUUCAAGCACCCAUGCUACACACAUAGGAUCGAAUCUCGAUUUACAGCAAGACUCACUGCCUUACUUCGCCUCAACCCUCGGCAGCUACUGCAACUCAACCGGGAGAACGAAGCAAGCUGUUGUAGAAGCCUAUCAGCAUGCGUCUUCCACUGUGUGCGAGCGAUACUGGAGGGCGAUGACAUUCCGGACUGCUGCUUGUGCUGUCGACCAUCUGAUUAGUUUUGGAAGACCCAAAGCAGAGCCUCCCACUUGUCUGUCUGCCCCGUCUUUUACGCCACUGUAAAUUAGCCGGAUCAUCCAGGCCAGUAUUGAAUCGUCUUCUUAUACGAGUCCUAGCAGAAACUUUCCAACCAGCCAGAAAUUGUGGUGCGAACGAGUUGGAAGCCAACGUUUUUGGAGAACGCUACUUCAACUUCACCACAAGGAGAGAGAGAGAGAGAGAGAGAGAGAGAGAGAGCUGCAGCUGUUGGCACACCCGAUUUUGAGGAUUCAACUGAUGCUGUUCAAUCUAGCUUAAUUCCCAAAAAGAUCACCCACGCACGGGAUCAUCGCGUACUCUUUCCAAAAGUUUGCCGAUAUAAAUGCAGUGCAUACGAAAGGAUGAUGGUUGUCACUACUCUCAUCAGAGUCAAAGAUAUGACUGGCUUCUGUAUGAUUCAUCUCUCUCUGCAUGCUAGCAUUCUGUGUGUUGUAUCUCACCAUGCCUAGGGAGUGGAGGUCUGUGUGCCGUAUGAUCAAGUUGUGAGAGAGAAGUGAUAGCUCUGUUGAGCAGUAUGAGAUUGAGUAGGAGGAUGUAGCUUACAUUACUAAAUAAUACCAAUCCUUUGUCUGAGAAUCAAUUGAUAUGUCA
Molecule: small RNA, 3740 nt
Filed under: Histoplasma capsulatum var. duboisii H88
Lineage: Eukaryota; Fungi; Ascomycota; Eurotiomycetes; Onygenales; Ajellomycetaceae
Description: Histoplasma capsulatum H88 hypothetical RNA
Source: RNAcentral